AAGGGCACCACAAGAACGCGUGGAGCAUGUGGCUUAAUUUGACUCAACGCGGGAAAUCUUACCGGGUCCGGACACACUGAGGAUUGACAGGCAAUCAUGUGAAUCGUUUUUAUCUUUUAAAACAUUCGCAUAUAAAUAUGCUAGUCCUUUCAUGAUUAUGUGAUAGGUGGUGCAUGGCCGUUCUUAGUUCGUGGAGUGAUCUGUCUGCUUAAUUGCGUUUCAUACUGGACUUAGAAAUCAAGUGUGUUUAUUUUUCUUGUGCGGUUAUGUUUUAAUGCAUUUUGUUACCCCAUUUUUUUGGGUGAGUUUCAAUUUGUGUUUUACAUUCCGUGCUUUAUUGAUAAAUAAAUACACAUCUAGUCCUGAAAGCAACGAACGUGACCGCAUCCUCUUGUUGCCUUUUAACUUAAAACAUUUUUUUUUAUUUUUUUUACUUUAAUUUCUUGUUUUAUAAUAUAAGAGGCUUUCUUAAAACUAGAGGGACCGCUGCGACUUUUUUAAACCAGAGGAAGGUUGCGGCAAUAACAGGUCUGUGAUGCCCUUAGAUGUUCCGGGCUGCACACGUGCUACAAUGAUUAUUGCAGUGAGCAUCUCAUUUACAGCACUGUUUUCAUUUUUUUUUAAAAUGAGCAGUCAAAGCCUGCUUCGAAAGUUCGCAGGUAAUCAAUUGGAAGUAAUGAUUUCCCUUAACUCAAAUUUAUUUUUGAUUUUGUGAGCACACAAUAUGCUACUCCCCUCCCUGGCAUUUAGCUUUUUGUCUAUUUGUCAUUGUGUGUGGGGAUGCUCAGCAUGUGCUUUUUGUCAAUUCAUGGUGGGGACAGACCAUUGUUAAUUGUUGGUCUCGGUCUCAACUAGGAAUGCCUUGUACGGGUCUUUGGUUCAACAAACCACCCGGAAUACGUCCCUGCCCUUUGUACACACCGCCCGUCGCUCUUACCGAUGGACUUCUCUGUGAGUUUGAGGGACUGGGUACCUUAGUUUUUUUUAUUUUUUUUUAAUUUGAAAAAAGCUAUAAUCACUUAUGGAAACUUAAACGAACAGUGUGGUGUAAAGGAAAGAGAAGUCG
This 1066-nucleotide ribosomal RNA is filed under the name Monothalamids sp. Its description in RNAcentral is "partial small subunit ribosomal RNA". It matches the Rfam family "Eukaryotic small subunit ribosomal RNA", at positions 1160 to 1791 of the family's 1831-position model. Lineage: Eukaryota; Foraminifera. The record is from RNAcentral.